Molecule: long non-coding RNA, 3041 nt
Filed under: Vitis vinifera (wine grape)
Lineage: Eukaryota; Viridiplantae; Streptophyta; Magnoliopsida; Vitales; Vitaceae
Description: long non-coding RNA (VVIN_LNC004463)
Source: RNAcentral
AGACCAGCAAUGGCUACUGCAUUCAUGUGCCCAAUGUUGAAUUGGAAGUGAAUGAGACCAAUAGGGAACACAAAAACAUCCCCCUUGUUUAGAACUUUGCUAAAGAGGCGGUUUUGAGGUUUGAGGGUUGGAUGUGACAAAGCCAACUAAGAGUGUUCCCUCCAAGACAGUGAGGAUCUCAGUGGCACGAGGGUGAGUGUGAGGAGGGUUUUGACCGUAGGGUGCAUAAUCGAUACGAACCAGUGAUAUCCCAAGAGUGUUAAGUCCUGGUAUUGCAUCAACAUUUACUGUAGUGACAUUUGAGCCCACUCGAUUUGUUGUGUUUCCUGGAAUAUUCAGCCCUUGAUAGAAGAAAUCCUCGGCCACAGUCAGGUUUGGGUUCUUGCAGAACUUUCCAUUUACAAAUACUGCAUUUAAAAAAAGGGAAAAGAAAAGAUAUAUCAUUAGUAUGAAACCACCAUCAAUGGAAAGAUUAAUGAAAGUAGUGAUAAGAUCAUUGGUUACUAAAGAAAUACCAGCAUUCUUGGGUUCAUCAAUGGCAACACAAGUGUCCUGCAGUGGGCUUGGAUCAGAGGCAGAGGCAAGAGAGGAUGCCAAUGCCAUGAGGGCAACAGCUACCAGAAGACUAACACCAUUCUUCAUUGUUAGAGUCCUGUCUUCAACAAUCACAAAUCUUUGUGUUGAGGUGCGGGGUGAGAAAUUUUGCAUGGAAAACAUGUCAAUUUAUAGACGGUCUUCAAUGGGUAGGUUUUCCUUUUUUAUCCUUUUCUUCACUUUCAAAGACAAGUGGUUACACCAGUACAUGCUAAUUUAUGUGGGAUUAGUUAGUUAGUUUAUUGAUCUUAGCUAGAAUAUUCUCUAUGCAUGUGUGGAAAGUGAGGGUCAAUUAGUGGAGGCAGGUCCAAUUUCAUAUCAAUCUGCAUGAUCCAUGCAUUUAUUUUAGUAUUAGUACCCAAACAGUGAAAUAUCUGUAAAGUAGUGUAUAGGCAAGCAACUAGAAGAUUACAGAGUAGGUGCAAGCCUGGACUAUAGAAAUAGAAUAACCUAACCAAUUCAAACCUGGUUACUCAAUGAGGCUUGUGUAGGUUCAGUUUAAAGAAUAUCUAUAUAGGAAUAUUAGUGAAUUUAUACUGCUUUAGUGUAAAUGUAAUGUGACUUACUUUCAUGAAAUAGUUGAUCUCUAUUAUGUAGCCAAGUUCUGAGUUUCUAGCUCAUGUGCCUUCCACUUUGUGAAAAAUCAUUGGAUAAGCUCUGGAUUGCUUUAGUUCAAUGAAACAUUGGGAUGAAUUCAAAGAUUUUCUGCUAUGCUCAUUAGGCUUUCCUCAGUUACAAAAGCUCUGACUAUAAUUUUGAUACUUGCAGCCUGCCAUAUCUGAGCAAUUGGCUCUAAACAUGAGUGAAAUAGCUGCAUGACAAACACCUUUGAACUAGGGCAUUCUUAACUAGUUGUUAAGUUGUCUUAAAGAAUAACAAUCUGUGUUUUCUGGGGAGAAGCAAGAAACCCUGUAUUGGAAAAAUGGCAAUUAAUUAGAUAAAUUCAUCGGAUUAGUCUAUGUUUUAUACAUAAGGUAAGCAGAUACACUUUCCAAGUCUUCAAUGGAUGGCAUUUUUUAAAUUUAAAGGUUGAACCAUUCUUCAACAACUACACCCCUUGCUCAUCCUUUUUCCCUCAACUCAUGGUCUGGACUUUAGAGUGGACUCUGCGUAAUGUUUGGGUUUCAGGACUAAUUCCAGGGUAGAGCUAAGGAGUAAACCUGUGGACAGGCCAUCUAUAAUCAGUUUGUGAUUAGUGUCAUGACCCAUUAGUCUUUUAUAAGUUGAGGUCAGAAGCUUGUUGCAUGAAUUGAAAUCUACUUUCUUCCCACUUGUUUUCAGAAUGGAGUACAUGACAAAAACAUCAGAUAAAAAUCAAAACUCACAUUAAACUUAUAAAUAAUUGGUCUUGUCUACAGUAGAUGUCAUAAGAUUUCUGGGUUUUCAUUUCCUUUCUUUCUUCACAAUUUUCAUGACACUUAUGCUUCUCCCACCAUUCAAAUGGUUUACUUGGACAUCUUAAUUAGUUUCUUCGAUCUCGGUUGAUGAGUUAUAAUGGGAAAAUAUAGAGAAGCAAAAUGGCAUCUUUUUUAUUUUUGAAUUCUCUGCAGUUGUUGCCUCAAUGUUCAUUUCUUCAUCACCAAUUCUGCCAGCAGUAUGCUGGAAGUAACAGUAGUACUGUUUUACAACUAGCUAAGUAUUCCUUCUUAAUAAAAAUUCUGCACAUGCAGGUUAAUCAAUCAACUGAGAGUUGUUAUCCAGUUGUUUUUUCACAAGAUAAAAUUUUUUAAGACAAAUAUUGAGAUGGAGACAGAGAAGAAGAUGCCUAACAGACAAACUGCUUUAUUUUAAUAUUAGGACCAAAGUCCACAACACAAGAGCUACAAAAGAAAGUAAUAAACCCUCUUAUUCUAGGAUGAUUGUAAUGAGGUAAAUGAACAUCACAAAUAGUCAUUCAAGCAAGCAAAUCAAAGGUUCAUAGCUUCUUCAUUUUCUCUAUUUCCCCACUAGAAUCGUGCUUGAAGGAAUUCAACCACCUUCUUGUCCAACUGGAAGGCCUUUGCCAGGAAAUCAGGAUUGAUUGGUGGAUUGGAUCCAAACACUGCAUUGGCUAUGGUGAUUACACCUGGAUUUUGGCUGCUCAGACCAGCAAUGGCUACUGCAUUCAUGUGCCCAAUAUUGAAUUGGAAGUGAAUGAGACCAAUAGGGAACACAAAAACAUCACCCUUGUUGAGGACUUUGCUAAAGAGGCGGUUUUGAGGGUUGGAUGUGACAAAGCCAACUAAGAGAGUUCCCUCCAAGACAGUGAGGAUCUCAGUGGCACGAGGGUGAGUGUGAGGAGGGUUUUGACCAUAGGGUGCAUAAUCGAUACGAACCAGUGAUAUCCCAAGAGUGUUCAGUCCUGGUAUCACAUCAACAUUUACUGUAGUGACACUUGAGCCCACUAGAUUUGAUGUGUUUCCUGGAAUAUUCAGCCCUUUAGAGAAGAAAUCCUCGGCGACGGUCAG